This 231-nucleotide ribosomal RNA is filed under the name uncultured bacterium. Its description in RNAcentral is "partial 16S ribosomal RNA". It matches the Rfam family "Bacterial small subunit ribosomal RNA", at positions 524 to 755 of the family's 1533-position model. The record is from RNAcentral.
UACGGAGGAUGCGAGCGUUAUCCGGAUUUAUUGGGUUUAAAGGGUGCGUAGGCGGAAUGCCAAGUCAGCGGUAAAAUCGCGGGGCUCAACCUCGCUCCGCCGUUGAAACUGGCGUUCUUGAGUGGGCGAGAAGUAUGCGGAAUGCGUGGUGUAGCGGUGAAAUGCAUAGAUAUCACGCAGAACUCCGAUUGCGAAGGCAGCAUACCGGCGCCCAACUGACGCUGAAGCACG